UUUUAAAAGGCGGCGUAAAGCUGUCGCUAUGGGGAUGGCCCCCGCGGUGCAUUAGCUAGUUGGUAAGGUAAAGGCUUACCAAGGCGAUGAUGCAUAGCCGAGUUGAGAGACUGAUCGGCCACAUUGGGGACUGAGACACGGCCCAAAACUCCUACGGGAGGCAGCAGUAGGGAAUCUUCCACAAUGGACGCAAGUCUGAUGGAGCAAACGCCGCGUGAGUGAAGAAGGUUUUCGGAUCGUAAAGCUCUGUUGUUGGUGAAGAAGGAUAGAGGUAGUAACUGGCCUUUAUUUGACGGUAAUCAACCAGAAAGUCACGGCUAACUACGUGCCCAGCAGCCGCGGGUAAU
RNAcentral lists this ribosomal RNA (347 nucleotides) under uncultured Lactobacillus sp. RNAcentral describes it as "bacterial SSU rRNA". It matches the Rfam family "Bacterial small subunit ribosomal RNA", at positions 187 to 524 of the family's 1533-position model. The record is from RNAcentral. Lineage: Bacteria; Bacillati; Bacillota; Bacilli; Lactobacillales; Lactobacillaceae.